RNAcentral lists this transfer RNA (74 nucleotides) under Candidatus Avibacteroides excrementipullorum. RNAcentral's name for it is "tRNA-Arg". It matches the Rfam family "tRNA". Rfam says of the family: Transfer RNA (tRNA) molecules are approximately 80 nucleotides in length. Their secondary structure includes four short double-helical elements and three loops (D, anti-codon, and T loops). Further hydrogen bonds mediate the characteristic L-shaped molecular structure. tRNAs have two regions of fundamental functional importance: the anti-codon, which is responsible for specific mRNA codon recognition, and the 3' end, to which the tRNAs corresponding amino acid is attached (by aminoacyl-tRNA synthetases). tRNAs cope with the degeneracy of the genetic code in two manners: having more than one tRNA (with a specific anti-codon) for a particular amino acid; and 'wobble' base-pairing, i.e. permitting non-standard base-pairing at the 3rd anti-codon position. The record is from RNAcentral. Lineage: Bacteria; Pseudomonadati; Bacteroidota; Bacteroidia; Bacteroidales; Bacteroidaceae.
GCUUCCGUAGCUCAGCGGAUUAGAGCAUCCCACUUCUAAUGGGAGGGCCGCAAGUUCGAGUCUUGCCAGAAGUA